CAAGGUCAGUGGCGAACGGGUGCGUAACGCGUAAGGAACCUGCCCUCUACUGGGGGGAUAGCCCGGCGAAAGCUGGGGUAAACCCGCAUGGUUCAUUGAUUCCGCAUGGGGUUAUUGAUAAAUAUUUAUAGGUAGAGGAGGGUCUUGCGUCUGAUUAGUUAGUUGGCAGGGUAACGGCCUACCAAGACGAUGAUCAGUAGGGGUUCUGAGAGGAACGGCCCCCACAUGGACACUGAGACACGGGUCCAACUCCUACGGGAGGCAGCAGUAGGGAAUAUUGGGCAAUGGGCGAGAGCCUGACCCAGCCAUGCCGCGUGCAGGAUGAAGGCCCUCUGGGUUGUAAACUGCUUUUGCCGGGGAAGAACGGCACCCCUGUGGGGGUGUGUGACGGUACUCGGUGAAUAAGCACCGGCUAACUCCGUGCCAGCAGCCGCGGUAAUACGGAGGGUGCAAGCGUUGUCCGGAUUUAUUGGGUUUAAAGGGUGCGUAGGUGGCAGAAUAAGUCUGGUUUGAAAGUUGGUCGCUUAACGAUCAAGGGUGGCUGGAUACUGUUUUGCUUGAAUGUUUUGGAGGUAGCUGGAAUGGGUUGUGUAGCGGUGAAAUGCAUAGAGAUGACCCGGAACUCCAAUUGCGUAGGCAGGCUACUACGAAAUGAUUGACACUGAGGCACGAGAGCAUGGGUAGCAAACAGGAUUAGAUACCCUGGUAGUCCAUGCCGUAAACGAUGAUUACUGACUGUUAUGUUUUCGGAUGUAGUGGUUAAGCGAAAGCGUUAAGUA
RNAcentral lists this ribosomal RNA (779 nucleotides) under Rudanella sp. RNAcentral describes it as "bacterial SSU rRNA". It matches the Rfam family "Bacterial small subunit ribosomal RNA", at positions 87 to 866 of the family's 1533-position model. The record is from RNAcentral. Lineage: Bacteria; Pseudomonadati; Bacteroidota; Cytophagia; Cytophagales; Cytophagaceae.